UAGGGAAUCUUCGGCAAUGGACGAAAGUCUGACCGAGCAACGCCGCGUGAGUGAAGAAGGUUUUCGGAUCGUAAAACUCUGUUGUUAGAGAAGAACAAGGACGUUAGUAACUGAACGUCCCCUGACGGUAUCUCACCAGAAAGCCACGGCUAACUACGUGCCAGCAGCCGCGGUAAUACGUAGGUGGCAAGCGUUGUCCGGAUUUAUUGGGCGUAAAGCGAGCGCAGGCGGGUUCUUAAGUCUGAUGUGAAAGCCCCCGGCUCAACCGGGGAGGGUCAUUGGAAACUGGGAGACUUGAGUGCAGAAGAGGAGAGUGGAAUUCCAUGUGUAGCGGUGAAAUGCGUAGAUAUAUGGAGGAACACCAGUGGCGAAGGCGGCUCUCUGGUCUGUAACUGACGCUGAGGCUCGAAAGCGUGGGGAGCAAACAGG
RNAcentral lists this ribosomal RNA (429 nucleotides) under Gemmatimonadota bacterium. Its description in RNAcentral is "Gemmatimonadetes bacterium partial 16S ribosomal RNA". It matches the Rfam family "Bacterial small subunit ribosomal RNA", at positions 355 to 776 of the family's 1533-position model. The record is from RNAcentral. Lineage: Bacteria; Pseudomonadati; Gemmatimonadota.